AAUCCAUAGGUUAAUGAGGCGAACCGGGGGAACUGAAACAUCUAAGUACCCCGAGGAAAAGAAAUCAACCGAGAUUCCCCCAGUAGCGGCGAGCGAACGGGGAGGAGCCCAGAGCCUGAAUCAGCAUGUGUGUUAGUGGAAGCGUCUGGAAAGGCGCGCGAUACAGGGUGACAGCCCCGUACACAAAAGCGCAUGUGCUGUGAGCUCGAUGAGUAGGGCGGGACACGUGGUAUCCUGUCUGAAUAUGGGGGGACCAUCCUCCAAGGCUAAAUACUCCUGACUGACCGAUAGUGAACCAGUACCGUGAGGGAAAGGCGAAAAGAACCCCGGCGAGGGGAGUGAAAAAGAACCUGAAACCGUGUACGUACAAGCAGUGGGAGCACAGGUUUACCUGUGUGACUGCGUACCUUUUGUAUAAUGGGUCAGCGACUUAUAUUCUGUAGCAAGGUUAACCGAAUAGGGGAGCCGGAGGGAAACCGAGUCUUAACCGGGCGUUAAGUUGCAGGGUAUAGACCCGAAACCCGGUGAUCUAGCCAUGGGCAGGUUGAAGGUUGGGUAACACUAACUGGAGGACCGAACCGACUAAUGUUGAAAAAUUAGCGGAUGACCUGUGGCUGGGGGUGAAAGGCCAAUCAAACCGGGAGAUAGCUGGUUCUCCCCGAAAGCUAUUUAGGUAGCGCCUCGUGAAUUCAUCUCCGGGGGUAGAGCACUGUUUCGGCUAGGGGGCCAUCCCGGCUUACCAACCCGAUGCAAACUGCGAAUACCGGAGAAUGUUAUCACGGGAGACACACGGCGGGUGCUAACGUCCGUCGUGAAGAGGGAAACAACCCAGACCGCCAGCUAAGGUCCCAAAGUCAUGGUUAAGUGGGAAACGAUGUGGGAAGGCCCAGACAGCCAGGAUGUUGGCUUAGAAGCAGCCAUCAUUUAAAGAAAGCGUAAUAGCUCACUGGUCGAGUCGGCCUGCGCGGAAGAUGUAACGGGGCUAAACCAUGCACCGAAGCUGCGGCAGCGAACGUAUCACUUAAAGCGAUUCAGCGGGUUACGAUUGACGGAGCGAAGCGACGUCAAAGCGUAUACAAAGUCGAGUCGGUUUAAGGAUACGUUCGUUGGGUAGGGGAGCGUUCUGUAAGCCUGUGAAGGUGUGUCGUGAGG
RNAcentral lists this ribosomal RNA (1152 nucleotides) under Salmonella enterica subsp. enterica serovar Infantis. RNAcentral describes it as "partial 23S ribosomal RNA". It matches the Rfam family "Bacterial large subunit ribosomal RNA", at positions 161 to 1268 of the family's 2925-position model. Lineage: Bacteria; Pseudomonadati; Pseudomonadota; Gammaproteobacteria; Enterobacterales; Enterobacteriaceae. The record is from RNAcentral.